This 449-nucleotide ribosomal RNA is filed under the name uncultured bacterium. Its description in RNAcentral is "bacterial SSU rRNA". It matches the Rfam family "Bacterial small subunit ribosomal RNA", at positions 355 to 825 of the family's 1533-position model. The record is from RNAcentral.
UGGGGAAUAUUGCGCAAUGGGGGAAACCCUGACGCAGCGACGCCGCGUGUGGGAUGAAGGUCUUCGGAUUGUAAACCACUGUCGCGAGGGACGAAGCUCUGACGGUACCUCGAAAGGAAGCACCGGCUAACUCUGUGCCAGCAGCCGCGGUAAUACAGAGGGUGCGAGCGUUGUUCGGAAUUACUGGGCGUAAAGCGCGGGCAGGCGGUCUGUUAAGUCGUUUGUGAAAAUCCGGGGCUCAACCCCGGAAAUGCAUACGAUACUGGCAGGCUGGAGACUGGUAGAGGCUAGCGGAAUUCCUGGUGUAGCGGUGGAAUGCGUAGAUAUCAGGAAGAACACCUGUGGCGAAGGCGGCUAGCUGGGCCAGUUCUGACGCUCAUCCGCGAAAGCGUGGGGAGCAAACAGGAUUAGAUACCCCCGUAGUCCCUGAGCGGGCUGGCAAGGCGCAU